Molecule: long non-coding RNA, 3906 nt
Organism: Dreissena polymorpha
Lineage: Eukaryota; Metazoa; Mollusca; Bivalvia; Myida; Dreissenidae
Exons: 2
Source: RefSeq, a predicted model, not a curated record
CUGAGGAAAUUCUACUACAAGUUGUGACCCCGACUGUAAGGCAGGUCUCUCUGCAGCUCCUGCAGAAUUAAGAGUGAGACUUAAUUCAUACUCGGUGCAUAACUCUUCAGUUUUGGAGAUUAAACGCUCUUAAGCUUGAAGGUUUGGAGUGUGUUCAUCAGCCACUUGGGAUUUAAAUCAAAAGUAAUUCCUUGUCUAAGGUUGACCAUAAUAAGAAAACAAUGAGUUGGGAAGCAUACGUGAAAGGUCAACUGAUGACCCCCGGGGACAUGGCUAGCGCAGGGAUCUACGGUCUAGACGGUGGGGAGUGGUCGAGGGAGGGGCCUAUCAAACCUCUACCAACGGAAAUCACCCGCCUUAUAGCCAUAAUUCAGGGCAAGGAAACCGACUUUAAUAGCAUCCGUUUAGGCGGAAUGAGCUUCCUGUAUAUCACUCACGAUCCUCAGGAAGGUUGCAUCACACUAAAUCGUAUCAACGCCCCUAGUGAUGAAGAGAAAUACGUUUGUUGCGGAUAUUUGUCCAAAGGUUGUUUCAUUUUCGGGGCUGUUGUCGGUAAUUGGCGGAUGGGUAACUGCAGCAAAGUGUCAUGUCGGCUGAGAGAUUACCUCAAACAAGUAGGAUACUAACGACUGUGAACAUCUAGUGACUUAAUGACCUACAUACAAUUUUGUAACAAAUGUUUUAUAUUGAACUGUGUGUUUUGCAACAAAUCAUGUAGUUGUAGAAUAUAAUGUCAAAUGGAAGCGAUAACCGUUUGCUUUAGUUGAAUAUGUGAGGCUUUUGACGUAAUAGGUUGGUUGAGGUAAUGCUGCUGAGGUAAUGCUAUGUGAUGUGUUGCUAUGCAGAUAAUACUUUUGUUGCCGUGCCAACAAUGCAUAGUUUUAUUGAUGCUGGAGGAAAAUAUUUCUUCCAGAUAAUGAUAGUACAUAUUUUGCAAUUUAGCUGAAAGCUUUAUAUCUUUCCAUUAGGCCAAAAAAGUUUCGAAUAUGGUGAUAGUGUCCUGUUUUGUUGACCACGGAUGUCUGCGAAAUUAUUUUUUUUAACUAUUUCAUUCUUAAUUUCUUAUUCGAGUGAUUGCUUUCAAAGUGAAAGUUUUAUGAUUUAGCUAUGAAUACAUUGAUAUGUUAAGAUUAUGUUUGCUGGUUGAAACUUUAAACAAAUAAUAAUUUAUAAAAAUGCCGAUCUUAAGUAUGUGCCUAGGGUUUUGUUAGGAAAUAUUAGCUUGUGAGCAUGUGUCUUAUCUGCAAAAUGUUGCUGAAUAAAUUUAUGUUAUUGGAUAUUGGUAAAUCGCGAACUUCAUACGACACCAGCCAGAUUGUGAACAAUUAAAUGAAAACAAUUAGAUAAUUAUUUUAGUAUUAUUAUUAUUUUUUAUUAUUGAAGAAUUCAUAAACUAUGUUUGAUAGUUGUUUUUGGUAUAGAGUCACGUUUGUACUUGUAUACUUGUUUUACCCAGAAAUAUUAAGAUUCAAGAAAUUUUACGAAAUAUAUUCCAUUUAAGUGUAUAAUGAGAAGUAAAACGUACACUUAGCAGCAUAGAUGAUGCAUUGUUUUCUUGAUGGUUGCUUCAAUUAUUGCUUGCUUUGAAGUGUGUUUUGUUUGUGCUGAAACAAUUGUGUGCAAUAAUUUGUGAUUUGUAUACAUUUAUAUUGAGUAUGUUACGUCUGUGGUACAAUGAACAAGUGUCGAAAUGGUUUAAUAUUAGUUAUUUUCAUGCAUAAUCCAAAUACUUACUUAUUUCGUUGUCAUGUACAUUCUUAUUUUGUUACAUUGCCUUGCUUACUUAAGGGUAAAACACCGAAAGCAUUUAAACAAGAAAACAUUGCUAUUUGUACAUAAACUGUUUAAUAUUAGUUAAUGAGAUUUUUGUCACACAUAUUUGUUUGUCCACAAAUAUGAAUACAUAUAUUUUAGGCUUAAUUAUUUUUGUUUAGUAAACAUAGUUAUGUUUCUGUUAUAGAGUUGUUUGUAAAUUUAGAGAAUUUUUUAACAUACACACGGUAUAUAAAUACAUCGGUUCUGCAGUAUGUCAUUUAUUAACAUUCGAAAGAAAGAUGUUUUCUUUUGUAGAAUGUUUGUUUAAUAAACCUUAAUUAUUGAUCAAUCUGUGAUACAUACUAUAUGAAAAUUAGUAGAAUAACGAAAUACAAAAUUACAUAUAAUGUACAUUUAUAUAUAUAAUAAGUAACUAAAUAACAGGCGAUUUCAGUUAAGUAUAUUUGCAACAAUAAUGGUUUGUAUUAAUGUACCAAUGGUAAUUGAUUUGUUUUCCUUCUACCACCUUAAACAAAUUCACAAGUACAAGUUCCGUGUAUGCUCUGUAAAAUGUAAUCUCGACAUCAGCGAGCUACCAUUUGGCAUGCAAUCUCCAGAUUUAUGCUGAUAAACGAGGAAAACAUGUCAAUCUGAUGUAAAUAAACAAGAUAUUGUAGCAGGCUUUCUGGGCGUGUUAUAUCUUUGCAUGCAGGUGAUAUAUGGCUGCAAAACUGGCGGACCUAAUAUUAUGGUUGUGUGUUAUACAAACCUCUGCAAAAAUAUGAAAUACGGGUGUCCUUGACAAGGAUUUACAGACACCUUCGCAUGACCUUUGAACCGAAUUCCAGGAUACGUUAAGUUUACAUCAAGAAAUUCAAAGCAUUUUAUCGCAACUGAAAAAGUGACAUCUAACCCUGCUGACAACCCUCGUGGUGGCAAAAGGGGUAUAGCAUACAUACAAAAGAUAUGGAGGUCAUCGCCGACGGCGUCAACGGACUUAAAAUCUUGACACAACAACACUAUCGAGACAUAAUUUAAAUUUAUAAAUGUAUGAGCACUGCUUUAGCAGCAAAUACCUGUAUUGUAAACUAUUCCAGCACUGCUGUUGUAAUUUUAUAAUAAUGAAGACAUGGCAUUAUGUUAAUCUUUAUACAAUGUGUUUUGGUUUAAGCAAAGAAUCAAAAAGUUACCUUUGUCGUGAGAAAAAUGUUCGUGAAAAAAGUUUCUCUUUAUAUAAGUCACACUCCCCGCGGCAAGAAUUUCUUGUAUCUCCUGAAUAUACAAAUAUUGCAUGUCAAAGAAUCAUAGAGUUAUAUAAAAAGAUAUUUCAAAAUAUGUCUUAUGUUUUUAAUAUUUACUAUUGUUUAAUCACAUAACCUUUUAUAGUUUUUACAUGACAUAGCGUACAUUUGAUUGAAUAAUUUUGUUUACAAACAUGUAACCGUUGCUUGCUCAAUUUGCUUUGUUGUUGUCAACUGUUCUUUUGUUUUGACUGCAAAGCUGUGUUACCCAUACUGUCUACUUAUAGACUUAGACGUAAUUCAUGAUAAUGGUUUCAAUGCUGAUAUGACAAAUCUGUUUUAGCGUACACGUUGUCGUAGAGAUUGUCGUUCUUUUUUGAUUGGAUAUUUAAAAUAUGUGCGCCUUUAUGCAUUUGUUUGCCUUUAAACUGUAGAUGUGUAUCUGAACAUGAUUAUGUCAAAUGUUCACAUGUUUGUACAAGUGCUCACAUGUCCAGACAGAAAACAUGGUCAAAUCAAUUUCCAUCACGGCAAUCAGUAUAGUUGGAGUUGUUUAUGCGAUAACUUAGAUUGUUGUUUAAUAACUUUACUACGACGUUGAAAUGCUAUUCUAGAAUAUGUUAAUGAAAAUAAGAAAAUAUUAUAUGGUGUGUACAUUCAUAUUGUUAUAUAUUUCCAGAUUUUGAUUGACAUUAAUUACAUGAGAAUAAGAUUUAAAAAAAUGGUCUUGUGAACACUUGAUCGGAUUUGCAUCAUCAACUAUACCCAUUUUACAUCAAAUUUAUUACCGCAACACAAGAAUACUAUGCCAUUUGGUCAUUUUUAUCCAAUAUUUUAAUGCACGAUUAUAUGAAUAUUGUGUACAAAUGGAUGUUUGUAAGCAAAUGAAAUAAUAAAAUCAUGGAAUUAA